This 498-nucleotide ribosomal RNA is filed under the name Caenocholax sp. 3 DPM-2010. Its description in RNAcentral is "bacterial SSU rRNA". Lineage: Eukaryota; Metazoa; Arthropoda; Insecta; Strepsiptera; Myrmecolacidae. The record is from RNAcentral.
GUCUAAGUACUAGCCAACUUUUAAAAUGGUGAAACCGCGAAAAGCUCAUUAAAUCGGCUUUGGUUCCUUAGAUAGUUUGCAGACUGGAGUUUCUUUCGAACUAUCGAAAGAAACAAAAUUCUGAAAUGGAUAACUGUGGUAAUUCUAGAGCUAAUACAUGAAAAAAUUUCGGUGCGAAAACGCGUUUGCUUCGAGCGAACGUUGAAUUUGCACGCUUUUAUUAGAGAAAAAAGCCAAUUUUAUUAUUGUUUGCGUGUGCACUCUUGCGAAACGGUUGCGUCUGUGAUCUGUUUCUGCUGGAGCGGCUACGUAAAAUCAAUACUAAUGAAAAAAUUAGGUGUUGAAUCUGAAUAACUUGAAUGGAUUCUCUUUGAAAGAGUUUUAUUUCGUUUCGGAAUAGAAUUUGAUUAGAAGAGGGUUUAAAGCAGACCGCAUUAAAGGCUGCAAGCAAAGUAAUGAGAGCGUUUACGUUCGAUUUAAUGCUUGCAGUUUGUGUGG